AUAUCUCUCUGUACGGGAAGGAUGAGAAGCUUCGACUAAGGUUCGAUUCGAGCGAAAGCGAGAAAGCAUUGCCAACGGCAACGACCCGAAGGGCGAAGCGCGCAGCGCUGAGUCAUCCUUCCCCCGUCAUCC
RNAcentral lists this small RNA (132 nucleotides) under Salmonella enterica subsp. enterica serovar Enteritidis. RNAcentral's name for it is "RtT sRNA". It matches the Rfam family "RtT RNA". From Rfam's summary of the family: This family represents a bacterial cis-regulatory element known as RtT RNA. The exact function of RtT is unknown although it is thought that it may be involved in changing the cellular response in relation to amino acid starvation. Lineage: Bacteria; Pseudomonadati; Pseudomonadota; Gammaproteobacteria; Enterobacterales; Enterobacteriaceae. The record is from RNAcentral.